RNAcentral lists this unclassified non-coding RNA (225 nucleotides) under plant metagenome. Its description in RNAcentral is "partial contains small subunit ribosomal RNA, internal transcribed spacer 1, and 5.8S ribosomal RNA". The stretch from base 178 to 225 matches the Rfam family "5.8S ribosomal RNA", at positions 1 to 49 of the family's 154-position model. The record is from RNAcentral.
UUUCCGUAGGUGAACCUGCGGAAGGAUCAUUCAUAAUAAGUGUUCUACUGCACUUUUUAAAAAUAGUACUCACCUUGUGUGCAAUGUUGUGUUUCUUUUCGGAGAAACACCUACACCAACCUAUAACCUUGAACCACUUUGUCUGAAAAACUAUUAUGAAUACUUAAUUCAAAAUACAACUUUCAACAACGGAUCUCUUGGCUCUCGCACGAUGAAGAACGCAGC